GCACAUCUCUACCCUAGGGUAAGUAAAUAGUAAUAACACAGAAAACGAGAAGUGUCAUAUAGAUAUUGUUAAAGUUUCAAAGCGUGUGAUGUUGCGUUUAGAUUAUUCCAUCAUUAGUCAAGGUUGAAAAUAUUUCAUUAUUCCACACAAUAUAGACAUAUCGGAUUUUGUGUCACUUGAUACUGAUAAUGGAGACAAUUGACCAAGCAAUUGUCCACGAUGAUGCACCACUUUGUGUCAAUGACAGUUUUGAAAAAAUUAAUUUGAAACGAAUACCGAGUGAUACAUCAUCAUGCAUAAAGUCAAGAUAUACGUUUGGUUUUCUUGGAUUUUUAGGAUUUGCUUUGGUGUAUGCGAUGAGAGUCAAUCUUUCUGUUGCUAUUGUAUCUAUGGUGAAUCAGACUGCAUACCCAGACAACGACAAUAAUAGCGCAACUGACGUUUGUCCAAAAGUUGGUCCAAUUAAUGGAACUUUCAUUCCGAGUCCAGGAGAGUCUAAUCAUGAAUCAACCCAAGGUAUUAUUCUGAUCCUUGGCUAUGUUCUCACAAACAUACCUGGUGGAAGAAUGGCCGAAUUUAGUUGGUGGAAAACCAAUUUUGGGCUUGGUGUCCUUUUACUGCUAUACUUACUGUUGUAAGUCCUUUGCGGCGUACUGGGGACUUGGGGACCAUUCCUUUGCUGUAAGAAUCGCCGAAGGUUUUUACAGAGGGAGUAACUUUUCCAGCUAUGCAUACUAUUCUGGCGAAAUGGGUUCCACCACUGGAGCGCAAUAAAUUUGCCGCUUUUGUUUAUUCAGGUGCCAAUUUUGGAACUGUAAUUUCACUUCCGGUGAGUGGGUGGUUGUGCUCUUUAACUCUUUGGGGUGGCUGGCCUCUAGCUUUUUAUUUGUUUGGAAGCUUGGGAAUGGUGUGGUACAUCUUUUGGCUACUGUAUGUUUAUGAUACUCCAGCUGAGCAUCCAAAAAUCGAUCCUCAAGAAAAGUUGUACAUCGAAGCACUUGUUGAACCAAAACAUGAUUCACACAAAAGCUGAAUCA
Aphidius gifuensis is the source of this 1037-nucleotide long non-coding RNA. RefSeq lists it as uncharacterized. Lineage: Eukaryota; Metazoa; Arthropoda; Insecta; Hymenoptera; Braconidae. The record is from RefSeq and is a predicted model, not a curated record. The transcript has 7 exons.